Molecule: non-coding RNA, 95 nt
Organism: Apis mellifera (honey bee)
Lineage: Eukaryota; Metazoa; Arthropoda; Insecta; Hymenoptera; Apidae
Source: RefSeq, marked provisional
UAAAUAACGAGCAAAGUUUCCUCGUGCCGAUAAGAUGCAAUUUGCUUAUCGACGAACAAAACCAAUAGAAAAACUGGAAACUGAACCUUCGUUAA